RNAcentral lists this ribosomal RNA (493 nucleotides) under uncultured Leucoagaricus. Its description in RNAcentral is "eukaryotic LSU rRNA". The stretch from base 90 to 243 matches the Rfam family "5.8S ribosomal RNA". The record is from RNAcentral. Lineage: Eukaryota; Fungi; Basidiomycota; Agaricomycetes; Agaricales; Agaricaceae.
CCUUCGGGGACUAUGUUUUUAUUCAUAUACCAUGUAGUAUGUUGCAGAAUGUAAUCAGUGGGCCUUUGUGCCUAUAUAAAACCUUAUACAACUUUCAGCAACGGAUCUCUUGGCUCUCGCAUCGAUGAAGAACGCAGCGAAAUGCGAUAAGUAAUGUGAAUUGCAGAAUUCAGUGAAUCAUCGAAUCUUUGAACGCACCUUGCGCUCCUUGGUAUUCCGAGGAGCAUGCCUGUUUGAGUGUCAUUAAAUUCUCAACCCCACCGGCUUUUGUGGCUGGUCUUUGGGGCUUGGACGUGGAGGUCUUUGCGGGCCUUUCGAGGUCGGCUCCUCUGAAAUGCAUUAGCGGAACCGUUUGCGAUCCGUCACAGGUGUGAUAAUUAUCUACGCCAGUGGAUUGCUCUCUGUCUGUUCAGCUUCCAACUGUCCACGUGGACAACCUUCUGAACGUUUGACCUCAAAUCAGGUAGGAUUACCCGCUGAACUUAAGCAUAUC